AGAGUUUGAUCCUGGCUCAGAUUGAACGCUGGCGGCAUGCCUUACACAUGCAAGUCGAACGGUAACAGGUCUUCGGAUGCUGACGAGUGGCGAACGGGUGAGUAAUACAUCGGAACGUGCCCGAGAGUGGGGGAUAACGGAGCGAAAGCUUUGCUAAUACCGCAUACGAUCUACGGAUGAAAGCAGAGGACCGCAAGGCCUUGCGCUCAUGGAGCGGCCGAUGGCAGAUUAGGUAGUUGGUGGGAUAAAAGCUUACCAAGCCGACGAUCUGUAGCUGGUCUGAGAGGACGACCAGCCACACUGGGACUGAGACACGGCCCAGACUCCUACGGGAGGCAGCAGUGGGGAAUUUUGGACAAUGGGCGCAAGCCUGAUCCAGCCAUGCCGCGUGCAGGAUGAAGGCCUUCGGG
Molecule: ribosomal RNA, 410 nt
Filed under: uncultured bacterium
Lineage: Bacteria
Description: bacterial SSU rRNA
Rfam family: Bacterial small subunit ribosomal RNA
Source: RNAcentral